UUAAGUUCAGCGGGUACUCCUACCUGAUCCGAGGUCAACCUUAGAAGUUAAGGGGGUUUAACGGCCGGCACCCGCAGCACGCCCUGAGCGAGGUGAUUGCUACUACGCUCGGUGUGACAGCGAGCCCGCCACUGCUUUUCGGGGCCUGCGGCAGCCGCAGGUCCCCAACACAAGCCCGGGGCUUGAUGGUUGAAAUGACG
Molecule: unclassified non-coding RNA, 200 nt
Filed under: Thielavia sp.
Lineage: Eukaryota; Fungi; Ascomycota; Sordariomycetes; Coronophorales; Ceratostomataceae
Description: partial internal transcribed spacer 2
Source: RNAcentral